Molecule: long non-coding RNA, 316 nt
Organism: Mytilus trossulus (common blue mussel)
Lineage: Eukaryota; Metazoa; Mollusca; Bivalvia; Mytilida; Mytilidae
Exons: 2
Source: RefSeq, a predicted model, not a curated record
CAUUUGUAAGAAAGCAGUGAUAUGAAGAAAACAAAAAGAGAAAAUCAUGUCAUCUGGGAUUCAAAGAGAAAGAUAGUAACAUAUUCGGUUAGAAAAAAAACAUAGCUGCAAAGAGUCUUCGGAUAAGGAGAUGGAUGAUGCAGCUAAAGAUUGGCGGCGCUUAAGCCUUGACAGAGAAGGUAGCAAGAAACAGAGAAGGGAAAAACGAAUAACAUAUAUAAAUAAUAAUGACACUGUUGAAGUUUAAAUUGAGGAGGACACUACUCGUGGUGACGACCAAUGAUAUCAAAUUUAAAAUAAAUAAAGUUUCAUCUUC